UUCUGCUCUGUAGAACGGAGCCAGCUCCACAGCGAAGUGUUGUUCUAUGGUUUAGAUCAGCGCUUCUGAAUACGGGACUCCCGUGACUUCGUCUUUGUUGCAGAUUCGAGCUGGUACCGUGUUGUAGAACUGCUCUGGUUCAACUGUGACACCAUCUGUGUUGUAGAACCGCUCUGGAUCAACUGUGACUCCAUUCGUGUUGUAGAACCGCUCUGUGACACCAGCCUUGUUGUAGAACCGCUCUGGACCAACUGUGACUCCAUCCGUGUUGCAGAAGCGUUUUGUAACACCAUCCGUGUUGUAGAACCGCUCUGGACCAACUGUGAUUCCAUCCGUAUUGCAGAACCGCUUUUUGACGCCAUCCGUGUUGUAGAACUGCUCUGGACCAACUGUGACUCCAUCCGUGUUGUAGAACCGCUCUGGACCAACUGUGACUCCAUCCGCAUUGCAGAACCGCUUUUUGACGCCAUCCGUGUUGUAGAACUGCUCUGGACCAACUGUGACUCCAUCCGUGUUGUAGAACCGCUCUGGACCAACUGUGACUCCAUUCGUAUUGCAGAACCACUUUUUGACGUCAUCCGUGUUGUAGAACUGCUCUGGACCAACUGUGACUCCAUCCGUGUUGUAGAACCGCUCUGUGACACCUUCCGUGAUGUAGAACCGCUUUUUGACGCCAUCCGUGACUGUGACGCCAUCCGUGUUGUAGAACCGCUCUUGACCAACUGUGACUCCGUUCGUGUUGUAGAACCGCUCUGUGACACCUUUCGUGUUGUAGAACCGCUUUUUGACACCAUCCGUGUUGUAGAACCGCUUUGUGACACCAUCUUUGUUGUAGAAGCGCUUUGUGACACCAUCCGUCUUGUAGAACCGCUUUGUGACACCAUCUAGAAUGGAGAUCUAGGCUUCUUGUGACAAUAGUACUGGAACUAUCAUUUGCAUACCCAGAGGAAUAUCGGGACGAUAGACGCUGUGGGAAGUCCUUCUCUGUUUUGUAGAAGCGAGAUCUGCAGUCAUCACCCCUUUUCCAUAAUGUUCCAUCGAUGGCCCAUUGUCUUGAGGGUAAGUUGUACCACCUUGGUGUUCCUGUGAACCGUACCUCCGCUUUGUCGGAUUGGGAUUUAUUCCCAUCGAUGGUCCAUGGUAUGGAAGGCCAGUUGGAUCGCCGGUCUGCCCACGCUGACGACUUCUUAUUACCUACUUGUGCGACCUGGUCAAAAC
This 1218-nucleotide long non-coding RNA is filed under the name Vitis vinifera (wine grape). RNAcentral's name for it is "long non-coding RNA (VVIN_LNC000542)". The record is from RNAcentral. Lineage: Eukaryota; Viridiplantae; Streptophyta; Magnoliopsida; Vitales; Vitaceae.